UUGAACGCUGGCGGUAUGCUUAACACAUGCAAGUCGAAUGGAAACGAUACUAGCUUGCUAGUAGGCGUCGAGUGGCGGACGGGUGAGUAACGCGUAGGAAUCUGCCUGAUAGUGGGGGAUAGCCCGAAGAAAUUCGGAUUAAUACCGCAUAAUCUAUUCGUAGUAAAGUGGGGGACUUUCGAGCCUCACGCUAUCAGAUGAGCCUGCGUAAGAUUAGCUUGUUGGUAGGGUAAAAGCCUACCAAGGCGACGAUCUUUAGCUGGUCUGAGAGGAUGAUCAGCCACAUCGGGACUGAGACACGGCCCGAACUCCUACGGGAGGCAGCAGUGGGGAAUAUUGGACAAUGGGGGCAACCCUGAUCCAGCAAUACCGCGUGUGUGAAGAAGGCCUGAGGGUUGUAAAGCACUUUCAAUUGUGAAGAAAAGUUAGCGGUUAAUAACCGUUAGCCUUGACGUUAACUUUAGAAGAAGCACCGGCUAACUCCGUGCCAGCAGCCGCGGUAAUACGGAGGGUGCAAGCGUUAAUCGGAAUUACUGGGCGUAAAGCGUGCGUAGGCGGUUUAUUAAGUCAGAUGUGAAAGCCCCGGGCUUAACCUGGGAACUGCAUUUGAAACUGGUCAACUAGAGUAUGGUAGAGGAAAGUGGAAUUUCUGGUGUAGCGGUGAAAUGCGUAGAUAUCAGAAGGAACAUCAAUGGCGAAGGCAGCUUUCUGGACCAAUACUGACGCUGAGGUACGAAAGCGUGGGUAGCAAACAGGAUUAGAUACCCUGGUAGUCCACGCCGUAAACGAUGAUAACUAGCCGUUGGGGGGAUUUACCCUUUAGUGGCGAAGCUAACGCGUUAAGUUAUCCGCCUGGGGAGUACGGCCGCAAGGUUAAAACUCAAAGGAAUUGACGGGGACCCGCACAAGCGGUGGAGCAUGUGGUUUAAUUCGAUGCAACGCGAAGAACCUUACCUGGUCUUGACAUCCUGCGAACUUUCUAGAAAUAGAUUGGUGCCUUCGGGAACGCAGUGACAGGUGCUGCAUGGCUGUCGUCAGCUCGUGUCGUGAGAUGUUGGGUUAAGUCCCGUAACGAGCGCAACCCCUAUCCUUAUUUGCCAGCACAUCAUGGUGGGAACUAUAAGGAGACUGCCGGUGAUAAACCGGAGGAAGGCGGGGACGACGUCAAGUCAUCAUGGCCCUUACGACCAGGGCUACACACGUGCUACAAUGGGAAGGACAAAGAGCCGCGAAGCCGCGAGGUGUAGCUAAUCUCAUAAACCUUUUCGUAGUCCGGAUUGGAGUCUGCAACUCGACUCCAUGAAGUCGGAAUCGCUAGUAAUCGUAGAUCAGAAUGCUACGGUGAAUACGUUCCCGGGUCUUGUACACACCGC
Molecule: ribosomal RNA, 1373 nt
Filed under: uncultured bacterium
Lineage: Bacteria
Description: bacterial SSU rRNA
Rfam family: Bacterial small subunit ribosomal RNA
Source: RNAcentral